UACGUAGGGUGCGAGCGUUGUCCGGAAUUAUUGGGCGUAAAGAGCUUGUAGGCGGUCUGUCGCGUCUGCUGUGAAAAUCCGGGGCUCAACCCCGGACUUGCAGUGGGUACGGGCAGACUAGAGUGUGGUAGGGGAGACUGGAAUUCCUGGUGUAGCGGUGAAAUGCGCAGAUAUCAGGAGGAACACCGGUGGCGAAGGCGGUGCUCUGGGCCGGUACUGACGCUGAGGAGCGAAAGCGUGGGUAGCAAACAGG
This 253-nucleotide ribosomal RNA is filed under the name uncultured bacterium. RNAcentral's name for it is "partial 16S ribosomal RNA". It matches the Rfam family "Bacterial small subunit ribosomal RNA", at positions 524 to 776 of the family's 1533-position model. The record is from RNAcentral.